GACGAACGCUGGCGGCGUGCCUAAUACAUGCAAGUAGAACGCUGAAGAGAGGAGCUUGCUCUUCUUGGAUGAGUUGCGAACGGGUGAGUAACGCGUAGGUAACCUGCCUUGUAGCGGGGGAUAACUAUUGGAAACGAUAGCUAAUACCGCAUAACAAUGGAUGACACAUGUCAUUUAUUUGAAAGGGGCAAUUGCUCCACUACAAGAUGGACCUGCGUUGUAUUAGCUAGUAGGUGAGGUAAUGGCUCACCUAGGCGACGAUACAUAGCCGACCUGAGAGGGUGAUCGGCCACACUGGGACUGAGACACGGCCCAGACUCCUACGGGAGGCAGCAGUAGGGAAUCUUCGGCAAUGGGGGCAACCCUGACCGAGCAACGCCGCGUGAGUGAAGAAGGUUUUCGGAUCGUAAAGCUCUGUUGUAAGUCAAGAACGGGUGUGAGAGUGGAAAGUUCACACUGUGACGGUAGCUUACCAGAAAGGUACGGCUAACUACGUG
Molecule: ribosomal RNA, 497 nt
Filed under: uncultured bacterium
Lineage: Bacteria
Description: partial 16S ribosomal RNA
Rfam family: Bacterial small subunit ribosomal RNA
Source: RNAcentral